GCUGUGGGGGGAUCGGGGGGAGAGGCGGGGUCACCGCGGCCACCAGUCCGUCACCCACCCCUCGCCAGGUGCGGGAGCUCUGGCCCCGUGGGAUGGCACGCCCCGCCCUCAAGUUCCACGCUCUGAGCCACCUAACUGGUCGUCACUUGCCAUGGUAACCCUAGGAAACUAACACGGUCUGUUACAUACGCACCUUCCGUGCAGGUGGUGGAAAGUUCUCGAGCGAUACAGAAGAGCGAAAAGAAGUGAAAUGACCCUCUCCCUGCUUCCCUGCCUCCUGGACUUAGCAUUCGCCUAACAUCCACGGGGGACUCGACAACUGGGUGCUGUGCUGGGUGUUUUCACCCACUCCACGUAGCGGCUCAUCUGUGCGUCGGGGGGACGAACAUGCACACACGCGUGGGAUCCACACACGGAGACCUGCACGUCCGUCCUGAAACCAGAAACGGAAUCAUAGGCGAAGUAGUGCUUAAGAACAGCUGCGUUUUCCACCCAACACCAGCCCUUGGUCAUCUGUCCAUGAUGCCCUCCAUCCCUAAACUCCGCACAAAGGCAGUGGAAUGCACACACACACACCCCCCACAAACACAAAGAGCAAGAGAAAGGAAGAAAUCGGCCCCUUGGGGAGCCAACCCUAAAUCCUCAUUAACUGGAACUGCCCGGGAAUGGAUCAUGAAAGAAACCUAUUAAGCCGUGAAGCGUCUAAACAAAA
Molecule: long non-coding RNA, 712 nt
Organism: Panthera uncia (snow leopard)
Lineage: Eukaryota; Metazoa; Chordata; Mammalia; Carnivora; Felidae
Exons: 2
Source: RefSeq, a predicted model, not a curated record